CCUACGGGAGGCAGCAGUGAGGAAUAUUGGGCAAUGCCCGAAAGGGUGACCCAGCAACGCCGCGUGGAGGAUGAAGUCCUUCUGGACGUAAACUCCUUUUAGAGGGGACGAAAAGCCCGAUUUGUCGGGAAUUGACGGUACCCUCAGAAAAAGCACCGGCUAACUACGUGCCAGCAGCCGCGGUAAUACGUAGGGUGCAAGCGUUGUCCGGAUUCACUGGGUGUAAAGGGUGCGCAGGCGGGCUCUUAAGAAAAAGGUGAAAUCUCUCGGCGUAACCGAGAAAUUGCCUUUGAGACUGAGAGCCUAGAGGACGGGAGAGGGAGAGGAAAUUCCAGGGGUAGGGGUGAAAUGCGUAGAUAUCUGGAGGAACACCGGAGGCGAAGGCGGUCUCCGGGCCCGUUACUGACGCUCAGGGACGAAAGCGUGGGGAGCAAACAGGAUUAGAUCCCCGGGUAGU
This 457-nucleotide ribosomal RNA is filed under the name uncultured Ignavibacteria bacterium. RNAcentral's name for it is "partial 16S ribosomal RNA". It matches the Rfam family "Bacterial small subunit ribosomal RNA", at positions 338 to 794 of the family's 1533-position model. Lineage: Bacteria; Pseudomonadati; Ignavibacteriota; Ignavibacteria. The record is from RNAcentral.